UACGUAGGGGGCUAGCGUUGUCCGGAAUCAUUGGGCGUAAAGGGCGCGUAGGCGGUCGUGACAAGUCACUUGUGAAAUCUCCGGGCUUAACCCGGAAAGGUCAAGUGAUACUGUCGGACUAGAGUACAGAAGGGGCAACUGGAAUUCUCGGUGUAGCGGUGAAAUGCGUAGAUAUCGAGAGGAACACCUGCGGCGAAGGCGGGUUGCUGGGCUGAUACUGACGCUGAGGAGCGAAAGCAUGGGGAGCGAACAGG
RNAcentral lists this ribosomal RNA (254 nucleotides) under uncultured bacterium. RNAcentral describes it as "partial 16S ribosomal RNA". It matches the Rfam family "Bacterial small subunit ribosomal RNA", at positions 524 to 776 of the family's 1533-position model. The record is from RNAcentral.